GAUGAACGCUGGCGGCGUGCCUAACACAUGCAAGUCGAACGGAACUGUUUUGAAAGAUUUCUUCGGAAUGUAUUUGCUUUAGGUUAGUGGCGGACGGGAGAGUAACGCGUGAGUAACCUGCCUUCAAGAGGGGAAUAACAUUCUUACAAGAAAGCUAAUACCGCAUGACAUAUCGGAACCACAUGGUUUUUAUAUCAAAGCUUUUAUCGCUUGAAGAUGGACUGGCGUCGGAUUAGUUAGUUGGGGAGGUAACGGCUAACCAAGACCGCGAUCGGUAGCCGGACUGAGAGGAUGAGCGGCCGAAUUGGGACGGAGGCACGGGUCAGACUCCUACGGGAGGCAGCAGUGGGGGAUAUUGCGCAAUGGGGGCAAGUCUGACGCAGCAACGGCGCGUGAAGGAUGAAGGUUUGCGAAGUGUAAACUUCUUUUAUUAAGGACGAAAAAUGACGGUACUUAAUGAAUAAGCCCCGGCUAACUACGUG
This 482-nucleotide ribosomal RNA is filed under the name uncultured bacterium. RNAcentral describes it as "partial 16S ribosomal RNA". It matches the Rfam family "Bacterial small subunit ribosomal RNA", at positions 28 to 507 of the family's 1533-position model. The record is from RNAcentral.